GCCCGCUCAGAAACUUAAGGACUUGACGGGGCCCGCACAAGCGGUGGAGCAUGUGGUUUAAUUCGAUGAUACGCGAGGAACCUUACCUGGGCUCAAAUGUAUGUUGACGUAUUCUGAAAGGGAUACUUCUUCGGACAAUAUACAAGGUGCUGCAUGGUUGUCGUCAGCUCGUGCCGUGAGGUGUCGGGUUAAGUCCCAUAACGAGCGCAACCCCUAUCAUUAGUUGCCAUCAGGUCAAGCUGGGGACUCUAAUGAAACUGCCUACGCAAGUAGUGAGGAAGGUGGGGAUGACGUCAAAUCAGCACGGCCCUUACGUCCAGGGCUACACACGUGCUACAAUGGCCGGUACAAAGGGCAGCUACCUGGUGACAGGAUGCUAAUCUCAAAAGCCGGUCUCAGUUCGGAUCGGAGUCUGCAACCCGACUCCGUGAAGCUGGAUUCGCUAGUAAUCGCGCAUCAGCCACGGCGCGGUGAAUACGUUCCCGGGCCUU
This 491-nucleotide ribosomal RNA is filed under the name uncultured Sphingobacteriales bacterium. Its description in RNAcentral is "bacterial SSU rRNA". It matches the Rfam family "Bacterial small subunit ribosomal RNA", at positions 904 to 1382 of the family's 1533-position model. The record is from RNAcentral. Lineage: Bacteria; Pseudomonadati; Bacteroidota; Sphingobacteriia; Sphingobacteriales.